GGUGGUGUAGCUCAGUGGUAGAACACUUGUCUAAAAUGCAUGAGGCCCUGGAUUCAAUCCCCAGCACCACAA
This 72-nucleotide transfer RNA is filed under the name Marmota marmota marmota (Alpine marmot). It matches the Rfam family "tRNA". Rfam says of the family: Transfer RNA (tRNA) molecules are approximately 80 nucleotides in length. Their secondary structure includes four short double-helical elements and three loops (D, anti-codon, and T loops). Lineage: Eukaryota; Metazoa; Chordata; Mammalia; Rodentia; Sciuridae. The record is from Rfam by way of RNAcentral. RNAcentral also lists the same sequence under 3 other names.